GAUGAACGCUGGCGGCGUGCCUAAUACAUGCAAGUCGAGCGAACGGACGCGAAGCUUGCUUCUCUGAUGUUAGCGGAGGACGGGUGAGUAACACGUGGAUAACCUACCUAUAAGACUGGGAUAACUUCGGGAAACCGGAGCUAAUACCGGAUAAUAUUUUGAACCGCAUGGUUCAAAAGUGAAAGACGGUCUUGCUGUCACUUAUAGAUGGAUCCGCGCUGCAUUAGCUAGUUGGUAAGGUAACGGCUUACCAAGGCAACGAUGCAUAGCCGACCUGAGAGGGUGAUCGGCCACACUGGAGCUGAGACACGGUCCAUACUCCUACGGUAGGCAGCAGUAGGGAAUCUUCCGCAAUGGGCGAAAGCCUGACGGAGCAACGCCGCGUGAGUGAUGAAGGUCUUCGGAUCGUAAAACUCUGUUAUUAGGGAAGAACAUAUGUGUAAGUAACUGUGCACAUCUUGACGGUACCUAAUCAGAAAGCCACGGCUAACUACGUG
RNAcentral lists this ribosomal RNA (497 nucleotides) under uncultured bacterium. RNAcentral's name for it is "partial 16S ribosomal RNA". It matches the Rfam family "Bacterial small subunit ribosomal RNA", at positions 28 to 507 of the family's 1533-position model. The record is from RNAcentral.